This is a long non-coding RNA of Notothenia coriiceps (black rockcod), 505 nucleotides long. RefSeq lists it as uncharacterized. The record is from RefSeq and is a predicted model, not a curated record. The transcript is spliced from 3 exons. NCBI's taxonomy places the organism in Eukaryota, Metazoa, Chordata, Actinopteri, Perciformes, Nototheniidae.
UGACCGGAGGUCUUCUCCCUCUGUGCCGCUGCUUGGCACCGGGCCAGCGCACCAAUUGUGCGCACCGGCUAUUUAAGCUGAGGUGCCAAACUGGGUCCCUCCCAUUUCCGCUUCUCCUGUGGUGGCUGCAGCUUGGCGUAAUAACGCAAAUUGUUUGGCGGGGCAGCAUUCAAGUCCUACUCUCUACCGGACAGGUAAAGCACGGUGCAGUCUGUCAUUUAUUCAUGGUCACAAGCUACACACUGCUGACACUUUCCCAUUUUAGCGCAGCUGACGUCCAGGGCGUUAGGGGAGGCAUUGCUCUGCCAGAGGUUCCGUGAUAGCGGCGUUGCACACUGUUGCAGGAUUUGGCCGUGGGAUUUGCGGGUCUCAUUCCCUCCCUUGUCGGCUCUGUGGCUGCACAGGGUGGGGUGUUCUAAGCAUUCUCUCUCCCCACCUUUGGCCAUCAUUCCCAUCCCGUGCUGCUGUUUUGGCUCUGUGUGUUUUGGGCUCUCUGUGAGCUUCG